This 91-nucleotide transfer RNA is filed under the name Bacteroidetes bacterium ADurb.Bin139. RNAcentral's name for it is "tRNA-Trp". Lineage: Bacteria; Pseudomonadati; Bacteroidota. The record is from RNAcentral.
ACCCAGUAUGGAAAGCGAGUUUCCGGCUUUCUCCAGAGAGGCCCUGCGGGUUUCCAGGGCAGUGAGCGUGGUGCUGAACCACUCCUGGUUC